This 301-nucleotide ribosomal RNA is filed under the name uncultured bacterium. RNAcentral describes it as "partial 16S ribosomal RNA". It matches the Rfam family "Bacterial small subunit ribosomal RNA", at positions 509 to 807 of the family's 1533-position model. The record is from RNAcentral.
CAGCCGCCGCGGUAAAACAGAGGGUGCGAGCGUUAAUCGGAUUUACUGGGCGUAAAGCGUGCGUAGGCGGCUAAUUGAGUCGGAUGUGAAAUCCCCGAGCUUAACUUGGGAAUUGCAUUCGAUACUGGUUAGCUAGAGUGUGGGAGAGGAUGGUAGAAUUCCAGGUGUAGCGGUGAAAUGCGUAGAGAUCUGGAGGAAUACCGAUGGCGAAGGCAGCCAUCUGGCCUAACACUGACGCUGAGGUACGAAAGCAUGGGGAGCAAACAGGAUUAGAUACCCCGGUAGUCCCUGUCUCUUAUAC